RNAcentral lists this ribosomal RNA (745 nucleotides) under uncultured archaeon. Its description in RNAcentral is "bacterial SSU rRNA". It matches the Rfam family "Archaeal small subunit ribosomal RNA", at positions 70 to 814 of the family's 1478-position model. The record is from RNAcentral.
UCAGGCUCGUAGCGAAUAGCUCAGUAACACGUGGCCAAACUACCCUUCGGACCACAAUACCCUCGGGAAACUGAGGUUAAUAGUGUAUCCCACACUCAGACUGGAAUGUCGAGUGUGACAAACGCUCCGGCGCCGAAGGAUGUGGCUGCGGCCGAUUAGGUAGACGGUGGGGUAACGGCCCACCGUGCCAAUAAUCGGUACGGGUCAUGAGAGUGAGAACCCGGAGACGGAAUCUGAGACAAGAUUCCGGGCCCUACGGGGCGCAGCAGGCGCGAAACCUUUACACUGCACGCCAGUGCGAUAAGGGGAUCCCAAGUGCGCAGGCAUAGAGCCUGCGCUUUUGUUCACCCUAGGGAGGUGACCGAAUAAGGGCUGGGCAAGACCGGUGCCAGCCGCCGCGGUAAUACCGGCAGCCCGAGUGAUGGCCGAUCUUAUUGGGCCUAAAGCGUCCGUAGCUGGCCGCGCAAGUCCAUCGGGAAAUCCACCCGCCCAACGGGUGGCCGUCCGGUGGAAACUGCACGGCUUGGGACCGGAAGGCGCGACGGGUACGUCCAGGGUAGGAGUGAAAUCCCGUAAUCCUGGACGGACCGCCGAUGGCGAAAGCACGUCGCGAGAACGGAUCCGACAGUGAGGGACGAAAGCUAGGGUCUCGAACCGGAUUAGAUACCCGGGUAGUCCUAGCCGUAAACAAUGCCUGCUAGGUGUGGCUCCCACUACGAGUGGGUGCUGUGCCGUAGGGAAGCCG